GUGGGAGGGGGCUUGCCCCCGAUGGCGGUAUUUCAGUCAGCUUAUCUGUAACUGACCCACCGCUAUCGGGGGCAAGCCCCCUCCCAC
This 87-nucleotide unclassified non-coding RNA is filed under the name Pseudomonas grimontii. Lineage: Bacteria; Pseudomonadati; Pseudomonadota; Gammaproteobacteria; Pseudomonadales; Pseudomonadaceae. The record is from RNAcentral.